GACGAACGCUGGCGGCGUGCCUAAUACAUGCAAGUUGAGCGAUGAAGAUUGGUGCUUGCACCAAUUUGAAGAGCAGCGAACGGGUGAGUAACGCGUGGGGAAUCUGCCUUUGAGCGGGGGACAACAUUUGGAAACGAAUGCUAAUACCGCAUAACAACUUUAAACAUAAGUUUUAAGUUUGAAAGAUGCAAUUGCAUCACUCAAAGAUGAUCCCGCGUUGUAUUAGCUAGUUGGUGAGGUAAAGGCUCACCAAGGCGAUGAUACAUAGCCGACCUGAGAGGGUGAUCGGCCACAUUGGGACUGAGACACGGCCCAAACUCCUACGGGAGGCAGCAGUAGGGAAUCUUCGGAAAUGGACUAAAGUCUGACCGAGCAACGCCGCGUGAGUGAAGAAGGUUUUCGGAUCGUAAAACUCUGUUGGUAGAGAAGAACGUUGGUGAGAGUGGAAAGCUCAUCAAGUGACGGUAACUACCCAGAAAGGGACGGCUAACUACGUG
RNAcentral lists this ribosomal RNA (497 nucleotides) under uncultured bacterium. Its description in RNAcentral is "partial 16S ribosomal RNA". It matches the Rfam family "Bacterial small subunit ribosomal RNA", at positions 28 to 507 of the family's 1533-position model. The record is from RNAcentral.